This 327-nucleotide unclassified non-coding RNA is filed under the name uncultured fungus. RNAcentral's name for it is "partial contains small subunit ribosomal RNA, internal transcribed spacer 1, and 5.8S ribosomal RNA". The stretch from base 1 to 73 matches the Rfam family "Eukaryotic small subunit ribosomal RNA", at positions 1759 to 1831 of the family's 1831-position model. Lineage: Eukaryota; Fungi. The record is from RNAcentral.
GCAAACUUGGUCAUUUAGAGGAAGUAAAAGUCGUAACAAGGUUUCCGUAGGUGAACCUGCGGAAGGAUCAUUACUGAGUUUUGGGUUGCCCUUGCGGUGCCCGAUCUCCCACCCUUUGUUAAUAUUACUUUGGUUGCUUUGGCAGGCCUGUCUUCCUCCUUCUUGGGGGGGACUGCUGGAGAGAUCUCCUCUCUCUUGCUCGUUUGCUUGCCAAUAGCCUCUUCCAAAUUCUUUUUUAUAAUCAUGUCGUCUGAAUCUUUAAAUGAAAUUACAUUUAAAACUUUCAACAACGGAUCUCUUGGUUCUGGCAUCGAUGAAGAACGCAGC